GACCUCAAAUCAGGUAGGAACACCCGCUGAACUUAAGCAUAUCAAUAAGCGGAGGAAAAGAAAAUAACAAUGAUUCCCCUAGUAACUGCGAGUGAAGAGGGACAAGCUCAAAUUUUAAAUCUGUCGGGUUUUACCUGAUCGAGUUGUAAUUUGAAGAAGCGUUUUCUGCACUGUUUGAUCAGCCCAAGUCCUAUUGAAUGAGGCAUCAUGGAGGGUGAUAAUCCCGUCCGGUUGAUCAUUGUGCUCUACGAUACGCUUUCAAAGAGUCAAGUUGUUUGGGAUUGCAGCUUUAAAUGGGAGGUAAAUUUCUCCUAAGGCUAAAUAACGGCGAGAGACCGAUAGCGAACAAGUACCGUGAGGGAAAGAUGAAAAGAACUUUGAAAAGAGAGUUAAACAGUACGUGAAAUUGUUGAAAGGGAAACGAUUGAAGCCAGUCGUACCUUCGGGUAAUCAGCCUUUCGGGUGCGAUUCUGUGAGGUGUGAGGAGUUAAACGCCUUCAUGUUUUGCAUAUUCGUGCUCUUGGGUGUACUUGCCCGUGUGGUUGGUUAACAUCAAUUUUGGACGCCAUAAAAUGACUGGAGGAAUGUAGCUUCGAUCUCGUAUUGAAGUGUUAUAGCCUUUGGUAGAUGUGGUUUUCGAGAUUGAGGAUUGCAACGGAUACCCUUCGGGGCUACCUAUCUGAUCUCUGAUCGUUGCUCUGGUGCCGAAAGCUUGCUUACGGAUAUCAAAGUCGAUGGUCAAUAGGUUAGAAUAGGUUAAAUUCGUUAAGGAUGUUGACGUAAUGGCUUUAAACGACCCGUCUUGAAACACGGACCGAGGAGUCUAACAUAUAUGCGAGUGUUAGGGUGAUUAAACCCUUACGCGUAAUGAAAGUAAUUUUGGUGGGAUCACUUUUGUGCACCAUCGACCGAUCAGGAUAUUUUUUGAUAGAUUUGAGUAAGAGC
Molecule: ribosomal RNA, 945 nt
Filed under: Rhizophagus irregularis
Lineage: Eukaryota; Fungi; Glomeromycota; Glomeromycetes; Glomerales; Glomeraceae
Description: eukaryotic LSU rRNA
Rfam family: Eukaryotic large subunit ribosomal RNA
Source: RNAcentral